CCUACGGGAGGCAGCAGUGAGGAAUAUUGGUCAAUGGCCGGAAGGCUGAACCAGCCAUGCCGCGUGAAGGUCAGUGCCCUAUGGGCGUUAAACUUCUUUUGUGCGGGAGCAAUAAUGGUCACGUGUGGCCAGACGAGAGUACCGUACGAAUAAGCAUCGGCUAACUUCGUGCCAGCAGCCGCGGUAAUACUGGGGAUGCAAGGGUUAUACGGAUUUAUUGGGUUUAAAGGGGGCGUAGGCGGCAUUUUAAAGCAGGGGUGAAAGUCUGUGGGUCAACCAUAGAAUUGCCGUUGAAACUGGGAGGCUUGAGUAUGUUUGAGGCAGGCGGAAUGCGUGGUGUAGCGGUGAAAUGCAUAGAUAUCACGCAGAACCCCGAUUGCGAAGGCAGCCUGCCAAGCCAUGACUGACGCUGAUGCACGAAAGCGUGGGGAUCAAACAGGAUUAGAUACCCCUGUAGUC
RNAcentral lists this ribosomal RNA (459 nucleotides) under uncultured bacterium. RNAcentral's name for it is "partial 16S ribosomal RNA". It matches the Rfam family "Bacterial small subunit ribosomal RNA", at positions 338 to 795 of the family's 1533-position model. The record is from RNAcentral.